UUGUCGAGACCGAAACGGACGAUCGCGAACCCGUCAACGCUCCGGCGGGGGCAGAGGGAGGGCGGGCAUCUAAACCGCCCGACCCUGCCGCCCCGGAGCCCCAUGGCCGCCCCCGCCCCGCCUCGCUGCGGGACGGGCGGCGGGAACAAUACCCGGCGCGAUGGGCGCCAAGGAACAGUGCAGUCGGAGAGCGCCGCACGCCGGUUCCGGCAUGUGGUGCGAUCCUUCCAUACAUCUAACUUUUACGACUCUCGGCAACGGAUAUCUUGGCUCUCGCAUCGAUGAAGAACGUAGCGAAAUGCGAUACUUGGUGUGAAUUGCAGAAUCCCGUGAACCAUCGAGUCUUUGAACGCAAGUUGCGCCCGAGGCUAUCCGGCCGAGGGCACGCCUGCCUGGGCGUCACGCCUCGCGUCGCUCCGCGCACCCUGCCCCUCCCCAGAGCAGGGGAGACGGCGGACGCGGAUGCGGAGAUUGGCCCCCCGUGCCUUGCGGUGCGGCGGGUCGAAGUGCGGGUCGCCGGCCGGGACGGACGCGGCGAGUGGUGGACGGACACGUACGGCGCUGAACGCCGCCUCCGCUCGCGGCCCCAGCGAACCAUGCAAGGAACCCAUGCCGAGCACCCCUCGGAACACGACCCCA
Molecule: ribosomal RNA, 639 nt
Filed under: Maianthemum atropurpureum
Lineage: Eukaryota; Viridiplantae; Streptophyta; Magnoliopsida; Asparagales; Asparagaceae
Also listed under: 1 other name
Description: eukaryotic LSU rRNA
Rfam family: 5.8S ribosomal RNA (bases 247-402)
Source: RNAcentral